Molecule: ribosomal RNA, 224 nt
Filed under: uncultured prokaryote
Description: partial 16S ribosomal RNA
Rfam family: Bacterial small subunit ribosomal RNA
Source: RNAcentral
UACGUAGGGUGCGAGCGUUAAUCGGAAUUACUGGGCGUAAAGCGUGCGCAGGCGGUUUGAUAAGACAGGCGUGAAAUCCCCGGGCUUAACCUGGGAAUGGCAUUGAGGACUGAGAGGCUAGAGUGCGGCAGAGGGAGGUGGAAUUCCACGUGUAGCAGUGAAAUGCGUAGAGAUGUGGAGGAACACCGAUGGCGAAGGCAGCCUCCUGGGCCGACACUGACGCU